CUUACGGGGGGCAGCAGUGGGGAAUAUUGGGCAAUGGGCGCAAGCCUGACCCAGCAACGCCGCGUGAAGGAAGAAGGCUUUCGGGUUGUAAACUUCUUUUGUCAGGGAAGAGUAGAAGACGGUACCUGACAAAUAAGCCACGGCUAACUACGUGCCAGCAGCCGCGGUAAUACGUAGGUGGCAAGCGUUGUCCGGAUUUACUGGGUGUAAAGGGCGUGUAGCCGGGUUGACAAGUCAGAUGUGAAAUUCCGGGGCUCAACCCCGGACCUGCAUUUGAAACUGUUGGUCUUGAGUAUAGGAGAGGCAGGCGGAAUUCCUAGUGUAGCGGUGAAAUGCGUAGAUAUUAGGAGGAACAGCAGUGGCGAAGGCGGCCUGCUGGACGACAACUGACGGUGAGGCGCGAAAGCGUGGGGAGCAAACAGGAUUAGAUACCCCUGUAGUC
RNAcentral lists this ribosomal RNA (442 nucleotides) under uncultured bacterium. Its description in RNAcentral is "partial 16S ribosomal RNA". It matches the Rfam family "Bacterial small subunit ribosomal RNA", at positions 338 to 795 of the family's 1533-position model. The record is from RNAcentral.